GGUGGCAUGGCCAAGUGGUAAGGCAGGGGUCUGCAAAACCCUUAUCGCGGGUUCGAUUCCCGCUGCCACCU
Molecule: transfer RNA, 71 nt
Filed under: Candidatus Jacksonbacteria bacterium
Lineage: Bacteria; Candidatus Jacksoniibacteriota
Description: tRNA-Cys
Rfam family: tRNA
About the family: Transfer RNA (tRNA) molecules are approximately 80 nucleotides in length.
Source: RNAcentral